UUUUUUUUAAAACAUCUCUGGGAGGAAGAUGUUUUUAGUAUAACCUGCUCAAUGCGUAAGUAAAUAGCUGCAGUAUUAUGACUGUACAAAGGUAGCAUAAUCAUUAGUCUUUUAAUUGAAGGCUUGUAUGAAUGGUUGAACAGAAUAUUAACUUUCUUAAGCUUAGGAUAUUUGAAUUUUAUUUUUAUGUAAAAAUACAUAAUUAAAUAAAAGGGACGAUAAGACCCUAUAGAAUUUAAAAUUUUUCUUGGAAAGUGAAUUUUUAGUUGGGGUGACUAGGAAGUUAACUUUUCUUUUUAAAAUUACUUGUAGGUAAUUGCUUGAUCCUAAUUUUUUUAGAAAAAAGAUAUAAUUACCUUAGGGAUAACAGCGUAAUCUUUUUUUUAAGAUCAUAUUUAUAAAAAUGAUUACGACCUCGAUGUUGAAUUAAAGUUAUUUUUUGGUGGAGAGACUAAAAUUUAGAGUCUGUUCGACUUAAUUUUUUACAUGAUCUGAGUCCAGACCGGA
Molecule: ribosomal RNA, 507 nt
Filed under: Acizzia jamatonica
Lineage: Eukaryota; Metazoa; Arthropoda; Insecta; Hemiptera; Psyllidae
Description: partial 16S ribosomal RNA
Rfam family: Bacterial large subunit ribosomal RNA
Source: RNAcentral